Molecule: RNA transcript, 589 nt
Organism: Grammomys surdaster
Lineage: Eukaryota; Metazoa; Chordata; Mammalia; Rodentia; Muridae
Gene name: UPF0547 protein C16orf87 homolog pseudogene
Exons: 1
Source: RefSeq, a predicted model, not a curated record
AGUGAGGACGGGCUGUGUGGAGCAGCGGAGCUACGGCGCUGCUUCCACGGCUGCUCAGGAGGGGAGCAUGUCUGCAACUCGAGCCAAGAAAGUGAAGAUGGCCACCAAAUCGUGCCCCGAGUGCGACCAACAGAUUCCUGUUGCGUGUAAAUCAUGUCCCUGUGGUUACAUAUUUAUUAGCAGAAAACUACUAAAUGCAAAACAUUCAGAGAAAUCACCACCAUCUACAGAAAACAAGCACGAGGCCAAGAGGAGGCGAACAGAGAGAGUCAGGCGAGAAAAGAUAAAUUCUACAGGAAGUAAAGAUUUAGAAAACAGAAAGAGAUCUCGAAGUAACAGCCAUUCUGAUCAUGUCAGACGAGGAAGGGGAAGACCUAAGAGUACAUCUGCCAAAACACAUGAGGAAGAGAGAGAAAAACAGGAAAAGGAAAUUGACAUCUAUGCUAACCUCUCUGAUGAAAAGGCUUUCGUGUUUUCAGUUGCCUUGGCAGAAAUAAAUAGAAAAAUUAUCAAUCAAAAAAAAAAAAAAAAAGAAUCAACUUUUUUUUAUACACUCCAGAUUUUGUCCUCCUUCUGGUUCACCCUCUGA